GAACGCACCGCAAGGUGAGUGGCAGACGGGUGAGUAACACGUGGGAGCAUGCCCUUCGGUUCGGAAUAACUCAGGGAAACUUGAGCUAAUACCGGAUACGUCCGCGAGGAGAAAGAUUCAUCGCCGAAGGAUUGGCCCGCGUCUGAUUAGCUAGUUGGUGAGGUAACGGCUCACCAAGGCGACGAUCAGUAGCUGGUCUGAGAGGAUGAUCAGCCACAUUGGGACUGAGACACGGCCCAAACUCCUACGGGAGGCAGCAGUGGGGAAUAUUGGACAAUGGGCGCAAGCCUGAUCCAGCCAUGCCGCGUGAGUGAUGAAGGCCCUAGGGUUGUAAAGCUCUUUUACCUGGGAAGAUAAUGACGGUACCAGGAGAAUAAGCCCCGGCUAACUUCGUG
RNAcentral lists this ribosomal RNA (395 nucleotides) under uncultured bacterium. RNAcentral describes it as "bacterial SSU rRNA". It matches the Rfam family "Bacterial small subunit ribosomal RNA", at positions 64 to 507 of the family's 1533-position model. The record is from RNAcentral.